AGAGUGAUUCACACUAUGUUUCCUACAGUGUUAGGCACAGAGAAGAAUAAAGAGCUUGGCCAAUGAUUCUGUAUUUGUUAUAAGAUCAGUGGAGGCUGACAUCAACUGUUAACCUCUUGUUAUUCUCUCAGGAAGUGAAAUCUCUGGUGCUAGAUAGAACAGUAGGAACUCGGCUAAAUGCUUACAGUUACUGUCUUCAUGAUUCUCACAACAACCUUGGAAAGAAGGAGCUAUUUUUAUAACCACUUUAUGUAUAAGGAAACUGAAGCAGACAGAGGUUGAGUGACUCAUCCCUGGAAAUAGUUAGUAUGUAUCUGAAUCAGGAUUUGAAUUCAUGUCUUCCUGACUCCAGACACAACGAUUUAUCCUCUGUGCCAAUUACAAGCUUGUGAUUUCACCAAUCCAGGAAAUUCUUGAAGUGGAAACUGUCUCUAAUGAAGAAGAUCAACAACUCAAUGGGAAUUAGAGAAUUGUGUGGGAAACUAAGAGGUCAAGAAAUUAACUCUCAGCAUCACAGACAGUUUUCGUUACAAGCAGAACUUGAAUGCAGGACUUCCUGAUUCCAAGAGUAAUCCAUUGUACACUCUGUCAGUAAUAUCAAUAAUAAAUAUUAUAAU
Molecule: non-coding RNA, 617 nt
Organism: Monodelphis domestica (gray short-tailed opossum)
Lineage: Eukaryota; Metazoa; Chordata; Mammalia; Didelphimorphia; Didelphidae
Source: RefSeq, a predicted model, not a curated record